This 745-nucleotide ribosomal RNA is filed under the name Haloferax sp. BAB-3005. RNAcentral describes it as "bacterial SSU rRNA". It matches the Rfam family "Archaeal small subunit ribosomal RNA", at positions 19 to 765 of the family's 1478-position model. The record is from RNAcentral. Lineage: Archaea; Methanobacteriati; Methanobacteriota; Halobacteria; Halobacteriales; Haloferacaceae.
GGAGGUCAUUGCUAUUGGGGUCCGAUUUAGCCAUGCUAGUUGCACGAGUUCAUACUCGUGGCGAAAAGCUCAGUAACACGUGGCCAAACUACCCUACAGAGAACGAUAACCUCGGGAAACUGAGGCUAAUAGUUCAUACGGGAGUCAUGCUGGAAUGCCGACUCCCCGAAACGCUCAGGCGCUGUAGGAUGUGGCUGCGGCCGAUUAGGUAGACGGUGGGGUAACGGCCCACCGUGCCGAUAAUCGGUACGGGUUGUGAGAGCAAGAGCCCGGAGACGGAAUCUGAGACAAGAUUCCGGGCCCUACGGGGCGCAGCAGGCGCGAAACCUUUACACUGCACGCAAGUGCGAUAAGGGGACCCCAAGUGCGAGGGCAUAUAGUCCUCGCUUUUCUCGACUGUAAGGCGGUCGAGGAAUAAGAGCUGGGCAAGACCGAUACCAGCAGCCGCGGUAAUACCGGCAGCUCAAGUGAUGACCGAUAUUAUUGGGCCUAAAGCGUCCGUAGCCGGCCACGAAGGUUCAUCGGGAAAUCCGCCAGCUCAACUGGCGGGCGUCCGGUGAAAACCACGUGGCUUGGGACCGGAAGGCUCGAGGGGUACGUCCGGGGUAGGAGUGAAAUCCCGUAAUCCUGGACGGACCACCGAUGGCGAAAGCACCUCGAGAAGACGGAUCCGACGGUGAGGGACGAAAGCUAGGGUCUCGAACCGGAUUAGAUACCCGGGUAGUCCUAGCUGUAAACGAUGCUC